UCCUUCUUUUUCAACAAAAAUAAAAAAUAAAAAAGCCCCCAUGUAUCUCACUUAUAAAAUCCAGCCUACCCACCCCACGCUUGGAAACCAUCAAAAAAAAGAAAGCAACAACACACACAAAAGUAACAACACUCUCCAAGAUUCACACUAUUUUCCUGCAUAUUCAAACAUGGAUGCUGAGUUGAAGAAGAGCCAUGUCCCAGCAUUUGGAAGCUGGGACUGCAAUGAUGACCUUCCCUUCACUCAGUGCUUUGAAUCAGCUAGACAAGCUGGCCUCCUGCGUUACAGCUACUCUGAGGACCGGGAUUUGUACGUGGCUGGUGAUUUGUACCAGAACGAUAUCGUCACUCCGGCUAUGAUUGUGGUUCCUCGUCGAAGGACAAAAGCAGCAGCAGGGAAAAAAGAAGGAUGGGUGGUAUGUGAAUGUGAGCACAAGUAUGAUGUGAAGCAACCACCGAGCCCUGUAGCUCAUCAUGCUCCACCACCAACUUACCUCCCCAAAGCUGUGGAUGAGGAUCUCUACAAGAUUUCUCCUGACCUUCUCUACGCCAAUUCCAAAAGGAAGAGGGGAUUUGGUCUGUUUUCAUGCUGCCUGAGGCCAAGCUGUGACUUGUGAAUCUAGGGAAUGAGAGCUCUCAAGACUUGUUUCAGAUGGGAAGAGUGAUAGACAAAUAUCAAAUAUAUAUAAUAUUUAGUACAUAUGUGAAAAAUGUUUGUGUGGCUACCUAGUGUUUCAGUAGACAAAAAUUGCCAGCUAAUUACAUUGUUGACAAACAUAACAAGUGUAGCUUUUUUAUUUGAUCAUCUUGAUGUGAUGCUUGAAUUUCUAGCUUUUUUAUUUGAUCAUCUUGGUGUGAUGCUUGAAUUUCAUAGUCUCCUUUUAUUAUCUAUUUUCAGCAAAACACUUUUAUCAUUAUACUGAUUACGAUAUUAACAAAUAUUUAUAAAGUUAAAUCGACACUUGAUGGCCGUCGGGAUUUUACGAAGUUUCCGUAGCCUUCAUUUGUGGGUGAGUGAGUGUGUUUUUUUUUUCCUCCCCUUGAAGGGGUUUAAACAGCGCUAUUUAUACUACUAGUGCUGCUUGCUUGAGGGGAUGACUGGGCUAGUCUAGGGACUAGGACGAUGAGGAGGACGAGCUAUAAUAGGACAGGUGGGGGUGAUCCCGGGUUUUCGGGGAUGACAGGUCAAGGAAGGAACUCCACGUGUCCAGGUGCUUCGGGGUUGACAAGCUGAGAGCUGACAAGGAGCUUGAUCACUAUUCUGGGCAAAGCCUACGGUUCGCCGGAGGAUCAGGGGGGGGGGCUUGCGGUUUCUGUAGGCGUUGCUAGAGUCCUACAGUUUUAAGGGCCAUCAGAUGCCCCUCGGAUGGGGAGGCGACCCUUUAGGGUCCUGAGGCGUCCGAAAUACCCUAUUUUUCCUUUUUCUUUUUGUAUAUUGUUCUGAGUUCAAAAACAGAAGGGGAAGCGGCAGUUUUGUUUCUCUGUAGUGGCGGGCCCCACUUCAACAGUCAUCAUGGGUGGUUUAUCAAAAGUUGUGCCUACUAAUUAGGCUUUAAUGAUUUAUAUGUAUGUAUAAGAGUACACAUUAGUUUUUUCUUACUCCAUUUUUCUCUCAAUAGCGGCUUUCUCUGGAGUUAGGACGAGUGGAGGAGAAAAGCGGAGAUCUCUCCAGGGCACCAACCGAAGUUCUUGCCGUCGUUGUUCACAGGUAUGCGUUGUCUCCUUUACAUGUUUCUUUAUGUUCCAGUUCUUUCGUGGAUGGAACCAUUGUUUGAGUAUUUCUGGUAGUUUGCUUUAUCUCGUUCAUAUGUUCGUGUGUAUACGGGGCUCGACCUUUUGGCUGGUUUGGGGAUCGGGUUAGGAGUGGGGGUUUUUGUUAGAUUGUUCUCAUUGUAACUCGAUUUGGGGGAGAAACAGAGGAUUAGGGUUACAAAGAUAUGUUGAUUGUUGAGUAAAUGGAAUUAAUGGGUUAACUUGGGAUUUUGGCGAGGUCGAGACGGGUUGCAGCCCUAACCGCCCUUUAUUGUUAUUUGACAGAGAUGGGUAAACGAAGAGGACGAGAUGUGUCAGAGGGGGGCGAGAGCCCUUCGGAUUCAGAAAACCGGUUUUUAUCUGAUUCUCCAGACGUGGGGGUCGAUUCUAGUGAGGGUAGUGACAGCAAUAAUAAGGAAGUUUCUUCUUUCGAGGGGGGCGUGGCCGGGUCAUCAUCCAGAAAAGUUCACAGUACAAGGAGCCCUCCUCCUUCUGAGGGGGAUUCUGACGUCCCCCUAUCAAUACGGAUUUUGAGAGGGAAGAAGCCGGUUUCGAAAGAGACGGGCUCGACAAGAAAAGAAAAGGCCACAAGUGGCAAAAAGGUGGAGGGAAAGAAGAUAUUGGGGGGUAGUACGAGUGGUAAGAAGAUACAGAAGAAGGAGGUGGUGGAACAGGGACAAGGGGGGAAGAAAAAGAAGCUUCGAGUCCCCACGAGAAGUUGCAUAGGGUCGGCCAAAGGUUGGCUUGAUAUUCCUGAGAAGUUUGUGAUGUCUCCUCCGGAUACCCGCAGGGAAGACUAUUUUAAAACUUACGGGGAAGAAUGUUCCCGUGAGCCAGGGGGGGCGAGGAUUUCUGAUGCUCUCCUGAGCAAUCAGCUGGGGGAGUUGGAGUAUAUCAACAAACCAUGCGAGUUCAGGUUGGAGUACUUAGACGUGGUGAAACAGGCCUUUCAAAUCCCGGAGGAGUACGAGGUAAGGAUGCCUAGAGAAGGAGAGAUGGUCUAUCAUAGGGGGGACGACCUUUGGGUGGGGAUUCCCUUAGAACAUUUUCGUGCAGGCCUGCGGUUGCCCCUGCAUAGGUUCAUCCAUACGUUGUUGUCGGAUAUGAAGAUAGGAUUGGGCCAAUUGGGACCGAACUCUAUCAGAAAGAUUUGUGCCUUCAUUGCCAGGUGCACAGAUUUGAAGCUGGAGCCUACACUGAGUCUUUUUUGGGCGCUUCACCAACUCCAGGCGUCGAGGGGCCACAAGCCUUUGUUCGAGUUGCAUUGGAUGGGACGACCAUUAGGAGGGGUCUUGGUAGAGGGUCCGUCUAGUAACAAAGGAUGGCAUCCUGAAUUUCUGAUGUUUAGAGGGGGAGACUUGGGGUAUUUGCCUUGGUAUCGAAAUGCGGAUGUGACCACCGGGAUUGUGAAAAGACACGAAGAGAUUAAGAAGCAUGAGGUGGAGAAAGCGACCCUGUUCGUUGGGGAGGCGUUGAAGGGGUUAUGGAACGAGGCGCAUUUUAGAAAUGUUUCCUUUUUACUCAACCAUAAUUGUAAGAACUGUUUAUAGUUUGCAAGCCCUUAGCUUAUCUAGGCUUCUCUGUGUCUUUCCUGUACAUAUAUGCAUUCAUCCCUUUUGUGAGAGUCCUAACCUGUGGGUUACUCUUGUUGGUUUUUGCAGUGUUGUUGAAGAACGUCCCCAUAAUGAACAUUGAUAAGUCAAGGGCUCUUUACCUGGCCAGGACCCGGGCCCCGAAGAAGAAAGAGGGUGACGAUGUUAGUGGGACUCUUGCGGCUUCCACGGGCUCGGCGAAGGGGGAGGCGGUUACAAUUGCCCCUAAUCCGGAGGUGAUUUCAGCACAAAAGGUUCAGAAGCGUGCGGCCGAGAAAGGGAGUGAGGAAAAGGCUCCCAAGAGGGUGAGGAGGAUGGAGAAGCUUCCGGUUCAGGUCAUAGAAAACUCAUCUGACGAGGAGAAAGAGGCGGAUCUUCCUAAGGAAAUUGUGAGGACAAGAGGUGUUCCUACGGAAAUUGGAGGUUUCGUCUCAUCCGGCUCGGGGCUAGUUCCUUACGGCUCUGCUCCUCCGGCUACUGGGACCGUAGGGUACUCUUUGACACAGUUUCAAGCCGGAAGGGGAUGGCUGGGGGAUCCUUCCGAGGGACGAGCUCCUUUGGAGGCGUUGAAUAUCUUCUCUUUAUCUCCAGACAAGGAGCGGUUGGCUGCGGAGGAUGAUGACAAACUUCUGAACGCUGUCCAAGAAGUCCUUGGUCAGGUACUUGUAAUUCUUUAAUCAUCGGCCUUUGUCGUAUCCGAAUAUAUUUGGUAACGUUUGCUUUGUUGUCUUUCCUUUUUUUUUUUUCUCUUUCUUCAGUUAGGGACUAGGGUUAUGGGUCUGGUGGAAAGGACCAAGAGGAAUAUGCUCCAAGCCAAGACGGAGCGUCAGGGUCGAGAUAAAGAGAAGGCCGAUAGGAGGAAAGCUGAGACGGCGUUGGGGGAAACAAGGAAGGAAACGGAGAGGUUGCAGGAGGAACUGAGGAAAAGUAAUGAGAAGUUAGAGCAAUAUGGGAGUGAUUUGUCGAAGGCUAAAGAAGAUCUCGAGGUGGAGCAAGGGAUGUCAGAAAGCCUGCGGAUUGAGGUUGAAAGAAUGAAUGUUAUGUUGGCCAAGAAGGAUCAGGAACUCCAAAAAGAGGAGGCUGAAUUGAAGAAAGUCAACGAGAUUCUGGAGAAGACAGAGAGAGAGGCCAAUAUUACCUACCGGGACUGUGUGGAGAAGUAUAAAGAAUCACAAGAGUUUAAGGAUGAGAUAGCCGCCGGGGCGGGUUCCUUUCAUGCGGUCGGCUUUCAGGAUUGUUUGGAUUUUAUAGGCGCCGGAAACGUGGUAGACUUGGAGAAGCAUUCGGUGGAGAAAUUUCAGGACCUUCACCUGGAAGGGUAUGAGCCAGAACCCGAAGGGGUUGAUGCCGAAGGGCCGUUGCCGGUGUCUACAGUGGGUGAGGAGAAUCUGUUGAAGAGCGCGGAGGGUCGGGACGCGGGAGGAACAGUAAGGGAUAGCGGAGUUGGGGCAGACCAGGGAGACAUAUCUACCCGUAAGCCGGAGGAGGACAAGGGUUCAACGGUUCGACAAGGGGUCGAGGAGCAACCAGCUGACCUGCAGGAAGGGGACUCCGUUAUCCCGUAAGAGGGGAUUCCCGAAGUAUACUCCGCAAGGCUUCUUUGUACGCUCGUAGGAGCGGAACUGUUUAUCUCCCAGUAGUAGACUUUUGGAAUGCUUUUAAUAUGUAUUUGUUCAUUGUCCAUCGGAUUCGUGAUGACCUUGUUUCAAUGUUUGUUUCAGUCCUUAGAUUUAUGGUUUUUGUCAGACUAUUUAAUUAUAACUUGUUGCUGGAAAAAUAGCUACUUGGAAAGUGUUGCUGACUUUUAUUUAAUCUGAGCAAAACAUUAAAUGCGACUGUUUGUUUCUUUUUGGUAUGCGAAAGGUUCCAUCCCUUGAGAUACCCGAUUGAUUUCAAGGGUUUUCCUUAUAAAAGGAGAGAGGUAAUAAAACCAUUUCUUUAUCAGUUUCAGGUUUAAACUUCUUCACUCUCUUUUUUGGAUUAACAGCCCCUCGUCAGGUGUCAUGGCUAGCGGUUCUGGAGAGACUCAAUCAAAGACAAAACACCCGGACAGGAUCGAGGCUGAGGCGAUAGUAGGGCAGAUGAUGGUCGAAACUCCAGGCGGUGUCUUGAAGAUCGUGAAAGAGCUGUUAUGCAAAGAUUUGGUAGAGAAAUUGGCGAAGCGGAAGGAGAAGAUUCGUCAACAGAGGGAGCGAAUCAUAGACUUGGAGGUCCGCGUGGAAGAACUAGAGGAGGCCGUUCAUGAGGCCUGGGAAGAUAACGACAGCCUUCGUCGGGACCUUGGUGUUGGGCCUGAAUAUUGAAACAAUCAUGUGGUUUCGUUUUCUUUGGUUAAAGUAUCAAAUAUCUUUACAGU
RNA transcript from Daucus carota subsp. sativus, 5699 nucleotides. RefSeq lists it as uncharacterized. NCBI's taxonomy places the organism in Eukaryota, Viridiplantae, Streptophyta, Magnoliopsida, Apiales, Apiaceae. The transcript has 5 exons. The record is from RefSeq and is a predicted model, not a curated record.